CGAGUUAGGGUCCUCAUCGGGCCCGACCUCCCAACCCAUUGUUUAUGAUACCUAGUGUUGCUUCGGUAGGCCUGGUCUAUCAGUUAUAGACCUGCCGGGGGGCCGUAAGACGCCCGCCGGAGAGUGCCUACCGACAGCCUCAACUCCAAAAUUCUUUAACCAAACGUGUCUUUGUCUGAGUAACGUCUUUUAAAAUAAAGCAAAACUUUCAACAACGGAUCUCUUGGUUCUGGCAUCGA
RNAcentral lists this unclassified non-coding RNA (239 nucleotides) under Exophiala oligosperma. RNAcentral's name for it is "sequence contains ITS1". Lineage: Eukaryota; Fungi; Ascomycota; Eurotiomycetes; Chaetothyriales; Herpotrichiellaceae. The record is from RNAcentral.